CUAAGACCCAUGGAUUUGUUUCCUGAUUUUACUUGCAUCUAAAUGAAAUGCCCAAACAUCCCAGCGUCUGACCUUCCAUGGAAAAAGUCAGAAUAGACACCGGUGAAAUUACAUCAGAAAGACAUGAAAGGACGUAGACAAUUAUGGGAAGCCAUUUUAGACUAAAAACAUCGGCAUCAGCAGCAAGGAGCUGAGUGUGUGGCAAAGCUGUCCAUUACAAUGCUCUGUGAGAACCUGAUGAAUCCCAGCAGGAUCCAAGUCAGCCUGAACUUCUCACAACCUGCCGGUACUCUUUUCUGCCCUCUCCAUAUCAUGCCUGGGGGGGCGGAUACACUUCGAGAACUAUUUAUACCAUACUAUAGGUAUUUUUCUCUACUUUCUUAGAUUUAGAUCACAGAGACCAGGUAUAUAUAUUAAUUGAAAUUGGCACUGAGUGUUUAAGAUACCUGUGUGGAAUUUAGUGAGAGCCAGAGUGACAUGAUGGACAGAUGGGACGGUGGGCAAUAUGAACUGAAAGAUGGAUUUUGGUAGAUGGAUAGAUAAGUACAUGUUCGUCGGUUAUAAUGCCUUUGUUCAGUCUUAUACAUUUUGUGUGGGAGUAGAGGGAAGGACACAAAGGUUUCUCUCAGUUUUAAUUAAGUGGUGAGGGAAUGAGGCAAGAGAGCUUGCUGCUGGGUAAUGAGCGUGGAUCACUGAGGGGCCUGUGUGACAGGUGACGCGGCUGGUUAGAAGAGACCGGGUGUUGAUGGUCAGGUCAGCUCUG
Acanthopagrus latus (yellowfin seabream) is the source of this 763-nucleotide long non-coding RNA. RefSeq lists it as uncharacterized. The transcript has 3 exons. The record is from RefSeq and is a predicted model, not a curated record. NCBI's taxonomy places the organism in Eukaryota, Metazoa, Chordata, Actinopteri, Spariformes, Sparidae.